Molecule: long non-coding RNA, 2237 nt
Organism: Drosophila yakuba
Lineage: Eukaryota; Metazoa; Arthropoda; Insecta; Diptera; Drosophilidae
Exons: 3
Source: RefSeq, a predicted model, not a curated record
UGCACAUCUUAUUUGCAUUAUUGCUUUAGAACUUUUUAUCAGAUCUAUAAAUAUAUUAUUGAGUUAAUUGCCUACCAAAUGACCCUUUGCUAUUUAUGUAUAUGCUUUACUUAAUAUAUUUAUAAACCUGUGAUCGGAAAUAGAAACGUGAUCGCUGUGAUUACUCAAUAAGAUCACCCAAUAUGGUAGCGCAGAUCUCGAGUUUCCUUUGCCGUAUUUCUGUCUCAAAUAUUGAUCAAUUUAAACAAUUAGCAAUCUGACAUUUGGGUAAACAUUUGGGCUACCAGGCUUUGACGGAGUGAUUUUGCAUUUUCAGGCCGCUAAACAACCGCAGAUUGCUGGAAUCAGUUGAGUGCGAUGGUUGUCCUACUCCUACCUAUUUUGUAUUCCUCGAUGUCAUUGUGGCCAAUUAACUGGAGAUCAGCGAUUUUGCGGACAAAAACAAAGGGGGAAAUGCGUGGAACUGGCUGCGCAGCGGAAUUCUAUCAACUUAAAGUCUAGAUUUACCACUCACAUACUAGUACAUGGAUGGACUGCCGUCGGAUUUCGUCGUUAGCUGAGUUUUCCAAUUUUCCACGCACAAGCAACCGAUGGGAACGCUUUUCUUUGGAGUUUUUCACUCGCUCUUUUCGCCACGAGCGUUGGCACUUUUCAGUUUCGGUUUCAGUUUUUGCUCGCCGUGCAGCGCAGUCGACGAGGCAGCGACGUCGACGCCAGAAAACACGAAGCGCUCGAUUUGAUUCACCGGCCGAGCUUCGUUUGGCUGAUAAAUACCUCUGCGCCAGGUGAUAAUGGCCCAUUGUGAUAAUAAAACAGCGCCAUAAACCACAUGUUAUAAUGGUGUACUGAAGCUGCCCUACGAGGAUCUCACUCCCUCCUUCGCACAAUCGAUUCGGUUUCUAGUUAGGGAAAGAGUGGCAUUCCGCUUUAUAGAGAGUAUUCGUAUACCUAUAGCCGUACUCCCGCAAAUCGCCGCAAAUCGUGUGCCGCUCACGUGAGCACACUCGCACUUUCUGGCAAAUUAAUAAAUUAAUCUCUCGCCCGCAUGAGAGACACAUGGCGAUGGGACAAGAUGGGAAAGAGACUUUACGAUAUUGACAAAUUGACAAGGCCCAUAAGGAGAUAUACGACGGGGGGAUACUAAAGUUCCAGAAUUGACGUCAGUUUGGGGUUAGCGUCUCAGGAGUCAUAAUCCAGUCUUACGUGUAGACAACCUUAACAAGGUAGUACUUAACGCUAUUUCUGCUAGACUACCAAUAUAGAGUUAAAAGUAUCUCAGUUUAAUUUGGAAAAUAUUUAACAGGAUAACUGUACUAAUUUUUAUGACAAUCGUCCAUAAACCGACGAUGGCCAGCGAUAAUAGUGAGGCCAGUUCGGUUCUGUGCUUCAGGUAGCCAAUAUCAACUGAUUUCGGGUCAAUAAAGAGUUGUAAAACACAAUCUUGACCAGCGGUAGUCGGGUCCGGUAUUUACUAUAUAUAGACCCGGCCAAUGAAUGGGCCAUCAGCCUAAACCGGGAAAACCGUGAUCACAUGACUUCGGAUUGUGGUUGGCGGAUUAAGCGAAUAACCGACUAUGUAUAACCUUUCAGAGAUCUCUUAUCACCGGUGCUAUAAGUAUGACAGCUUCGAGUGCGAUACAAUUGCCCAUGCCAAAUCAUAUUUAAGCGAUCCGUUUCAGUUCUUAUUGCCGGUAUUAUCUCGUAAAUAAUUGUAUUUGAAACUUGAGAUAGGACACAGCCCGUUUAGUGACGGAAUUGGGCAAUCGAUAAAGAUAUUUCAGCGCCACAUUUGAUCUGAAAAACUUUUUGCGUCCCAUCGUUUGACGCAGUUAAUGCGGCUUUCGAUUUCUAUUUAUUUUUUUGCAGAGAUAACUAAUAGCGUUUUGUGGCCAAACAAUUCGGGAAAAGAUGCAAGGAAAACGAACUUGUACAUAUUUAACUAUUUGCAAUUAUCUUAGAUGGACUUAUUUUCGUUAUUUUCCACGAACCAAAAGUUGAUUCCCUAGAUUGAACAGACUGAAAAUCGCGAAUCAUUGAAAAAAAGUCAAUUACCUUGUAAUAAAAUCUUAUCAAAAUUAUUAAGGCAGACAAUUCGGUAAUACAAAAUAUAUAUAAUAUAUAAAAUAUAAGUGAGUACUCAUAUUUUAUUUUAAAUAAAUAAAUAAGUUGACAUCAUUUUUUAAUUAGAGUGUGUGAGUGUUGAUAAUAAAGAACCACAAAUUAAAGUCACUGGCUGA